CACUGGUCAGUGAGUGUAUAUAACCACUGGAGGCAAAGGGGUGUCUGACCCAGUACUAGAUGGGUAUACCUAAUACACUGGUCAGUGAGUGUGUAUAUAACCAUUGUUUGUACCGUCAUGUUUUCGUAUUGCAUUCCUCACAAGUUCUCUGUUCAUAUUUGGGGCGGCAGGGCAGCCUAGUGGUUAGAGCGUUGGACUAGUAACCGAAAGGUUUCAAGUUCAAAUCCCCGAGCUGACAAGGUACAAGUCUGUUGUUCUGCCCCUGAACAGGCAGUCAUCCCAUUGUUCCUAGGCCGUCAUUGAAAAUAAGAAUUUGUUCUUAACUGACUUGCCUAGUUAAAUAAAGGUUAAAAAAUAUAUAUAUAACUUGUUUUUAUUUUCCUUAUGAUCAGUUGUGUCCGAUUCAGUUUAGACUUAGCUAGUCUUGCUGAAACUGACACUAUCAUCAUAGCACAUUCACGACCGUGUCCUGUCCCCCAGGUAUAAUGUAAUAUCCCUGACUCUGUCCUGUCUCCCAGGUAUAAUAUAAUAUCCCUGACUCUGUCCUGUCUCCCAGGUAUAAUGUAAUAUCCCUGACUCUGUCCUGUCUCCCAGGUAUAAUAUAAUAUCCCUGACUCUGUCCUGUCUCCCAGGUAUAAUAUAAUAUCCCUGACUCUGUCCUGUCUCCCAGGUAUAAUGUAAUAUCCCUGACUCUGUCCUGUCUCCCAGGUAUAAUAUAAUAUCCCUGACUCUGUCCUGUCUCCCAGGUAUA
Long non-coding RNA from Oncorhynchus gorbuscha (pink salmon), 751 nucleotides. RefSeq lists it as uncharacterized. The record is from RefSeq and is a predicted model, not a curated record. The transcript has 3 exons. Lineage: Eukaryota; Metazoa; Chordata; Actinopteri; Salmoniformes; Salmonidae.